Molecule: unclassified non-coding RNA, 219 nt
Filed under: plant metagenome
Description: partial contains small subunit ribosomal RNA, internal transcribed spacer 1, and 5.8S ribosomal RNA
Rfam family: Eukaryotic small subunit ribosomal RNA (bases 1-54)
Source: RNAcentral
GGAAGUAAAAGUCGAAACAAGGUCUCCGUUGGUGAACCAGCGGAGGGAUCAUUACCGAGUGCAAACUCAUAACCCUUUGUGAACCUAUAUCUGUUGCUUCGGCGGCUCGCUCUCGGGCGAGCCCGCCGGUAAUAUCAGUAUCUCUGUUUGAACCCGACGAUACUUCUGAGUGUUCUUAGCGAACAGUUAAAACUUUUAACAACGGAUCUCUUGGCUCUA